UCUAUUUCAAAGUGUACAAAAGAUUAAGUUUGAAAGUCCAUGGUUGGCAUUACCAAUCACUAAAGAUAACCUUGAAUUUUAACUGGUAACUAUCAAUACAAGAAGUUCAUUUCCAGUGAUUGAAAAAUGUGUAAAAGUUAACCAGCUAAAUCAAAUUUCAUUUUGGAUUAGUGGUAAAAUAAUAAACAAUAAUGAAAUUAAUAUUUUACCAGCUACAAAUAUUACAGAGCUCACAGAAAACAUUAAAAAGUUUAAAUCUAUAAUUGUUUGUCAUGGUGGACCGGAAUAUAAUUUGUUUCCAGAUGCUCCACUAACUAUUUGUAAUGUUUCAUCUAACAAUUUAUUAAGACAUAACAAUUGUGAUAUUAUAAUUAUAUCAAAAGCAAAAUGUUGUAAACAGUGCAAAAGUUUAAAAAAACUUUUGUUAGCAAAAAAGAAACAAGAUAUGAAAAAAGCUAGUGCUCUCUCCUGAAAAAAGAAAAUAGGAGAUAAUAUCAGGAAAAAAAAUUAUUCUCUUCAAUUCUUUUACUUUAUCAGUUAAUGAUAAAAAAAAUAUUAGUGAAUUAAACAAUAAAUUGAGUAAAGCACAGAACGAUAUAUGGCUAUACGCAAUUCAAGAAAAAUUAAGACAACUAAAUGAAUCUUAAAAAACAUUUGUUAUUGAAGCAGCCAAGCCAAUAAAUUAAAAAAUCUCAAAAGUAGACGUUACAGUGACAACUGGUUCAUGCUAUAUCUUUUUUUUGAUAUUCGGUCACCUAGUGCUUUUAGAUAUAUAAAGAAAAGUGCUUUACUGCCUUUCUCGCACCCUAAAACUGUAAGACAGUAUUUGGCAACUAUUAAAACUACCUGUCGUUUUGAUUCAAAUUUUCUUCAACUUCUUAAAAAAUAAAGCAGAUCAGAUGUCAGAUAUGAACAAACACGGCAUUAUAUUAUUUAAUGGCGUAAAUAUGAGAAAAAGUUUAUCUGUAAAUUCAUCAAAUCUUACAUAUUAUACCGGUCUAGAGGAUUAUGGUGAUGAAGGUGUAGAAGGACAUGAAGAAUAUGCCGAUCAUGCUCUUGUAUUUAUAUUGCAAUCAUUGAGCUCUAAUUUCUGCCAAACUAUUUGGAUGUUUGCUUCCAAAAAAGAGAAUUUUAAGGAUGCCCUUUCAUAUUUUAAUGGGUGGGAGGAUGAAAUGGAGACCAAUAAAAUAGAUCCAAAGAUUUCCUUACAAUAACAACUGGACAAGGUCUAUGUGUCACUAUUCAAUUGACAAUUGACCUUUCUAAAUAUUUAUUAGAAGAAUGUGUGUUUGAAUAUGUUCUAACAGAAAAGAUGUGCCAAGAGCACUGGUUGACGUUGGUUGGGUAUUGUUAAUUUUUUUAUAACUAUUUUAAGCAAUGACAAACCAUUAGUAGAGAGAAAAAUAAUCAAUUAAUUUUGUAAUACAAAUAAAAUAAUAUGUAUUAUAUUACAAUGAAAUAUAUAUAAUUUAUAUUAAAUGUAAUAUAAUAAUAUUUAGGUAUUAAAGGGAAUAAAAACAGUAUUCUACAAUUAGUAUCUUUCUAUCUGCUAAAAAUAUUUCACAUAAACAUAAGACAUUAGAUAAUUAUUUAUAUUUAGUUUUAUAUUUUUGUAUUUACCUAUAAAAUAAGAAAUAUUUACAUUUAUACAUUUUAGAUUUUAAUUUAAAUAAUUAUGUACCUAUAUUAAAUACUUAAUUUUUAUAUAUUAGA
Metopolophium dirhodum (rose-grain aphid) is the source of this 1713-nucleotide long non-coding RNA. RefSeq lists it as uncharacterized. The record is from RefSeq and is a predicted model, not a curated record. NCBI's taxonomy places the organism in Eukaryota, Metazoa, Arthropoda, Insecta, Hemiptera, Aphididae. The transcript has 2 exons.